AACGAUGAAUACUAGGUGUAGGAGGUAUCGACCCCUUCUGUGCCGCAGUUAACACAAUAAGUAUUCCGCCCGUGGGAGUACGAUCGCAAGAUUAAACUCAAAGGAAUUGACGGGGCCGGCACAAGCAGCGGAGCAUGUGGUUUAAUUCGAAGCAACGCGAAGAACCUUACCUAGACUUGACAUCUCCUGAAUUACCCUUAACCGGGGAAGCCCUUCGGGGCAGGAAGACAGGUGGUGCAUGGUUGUCGUCAGCUCGUGUCGUGAGAUGUUGGGUUAAGUCCCGCAACGAGCGCAACCCUUAUCAUUAGUUGCUACCAUUAAGUUGAGCACUCUAGUGAGACUGCCACGGUUAACGUGGAGGAAGGUGGGGAUGACGUCAAAUCAUCAUGCCCCUUAUGUCUAGGGCUACACACGUGCUACAAUGGUGAGUACAAAGAGAUGCAAUACCGUGAGGUGGAGCCAAACUCAAAAACUCAUCCCAGUUCGGAUUGUAGGCUGAAACUCGCCUACAUGAAGCCGGAGUUGCUAGUAAUCGCGAAUCAGCAUGUCGCGGUGAAUACGUUCCCGGGCCUUGUACACACCGCCCGUCACACCAUGAGAGCUGGUAACACCCGAAGUCCGUGAGGUAACCCGUAAGGGAGCCAGCGGCCGAAGGUGGGAUUAGUGAUUGGGGUGAAGUCGUAACAAGGUAGCCGUAGGAGAACCUGCGGCUGGAUCACCUCCUUU
This 726-nucleotide non-coding RNA is filed under the name Clostridium sp. BL8. Its description in RNAcentral is "Bacterial small subunit ribosomal RNA". It matches the Rfam family "Bacterial small subunit ribosomal RNA", at positions 805 to 1533 of the family's 1533-position model. Lineage: Bacteria; Bacillati; Bacillota; Clostridia; Eubacteriales; Clostridiaceae. The record is from Rfam by way of RNAcentral.